ACGCAAUGACGCGAACAGGCCCGACAGGGCCGGAGCGAGGGAUUCUGGGGUAGUGGGGAUGAUGGUGCGCCCCCAUCAGAACACAAGAACAGUAAUCAAUAAUAUUAGUAAAAAUAAUAAUAGUAAUAAUAAUAUCAUUAUUUUUAUUAUAACAACAAUAAUCAUUAUAAUAAUAAUAGUAAUACAAAAUAAUAACAACAACAACAACUAUACUUGUAAUAGUAGUAGUAGUAGUAGUAGUAGUAUUGAUGUUCAAUUCAAUUCAAGUUUAUUUAUAUAGCGCCAAAUCACGACAAGAGUCAUCUCAAGGCACUUCACAGGUCAAUUCAUUAAGCCAAUUAGAAAAAAUUUCCUAUAUAAAGAACCCAGCAGGUUGGAUCGAGUCACUGACGAGUGUCAGAGUCUUUACAGCAAUCCUCAUUGAACCUUUGCAUGUGACGUCACGCCACUCAUGUGACCGCCGCCUUCGCCAUGAUGGACGGCAAAAAGACCGUUUACACCCGUAGAAACUCCAGUGAAGCUAGUCAAAACAAGCCAGUUUGUAGCCUUUUAUGGCUUUUAUUGAGUUGAUUUGACAGUAAAAUGCUUUUAGCUUGCUGCGUGGUCGGCUGCACUAACAGACGAGGACGUAAACUCAACUCGUUUUUUUCUUCUUAAUAACUUUGAUGGAGACUGAGGACGGAGAUGAACUGCAGAGAUCAAUCAAGCGGACUAGCAGGCCUCAGAUUAGCAGCGAGCGUGUUUUUAGCGGGUAAGAUUAACGUUCAUUUAUUUCAGGAGGAAGACAGGGACAGGAAUAAAUGUGGUGUGUUUAUACUAGUUACUGAUAAUCCUGAUGGACGGGUAUUUCACCAUUGAGGCUGCGCUCCGUCCACUGUAGUGUAAAGCGAGAUAAUUAUUAUUAACAAUAUUAAAGCUCCGAUGUAUGAUUACAUGUGUUAAAAUUACAUUAUUUAUUUAUAUGAGCGUCGGCGUUCAGAGAGCUUCUCAUUCCGGUGUGAGAGCAGCAGCUGAACCCGGUAACACCACCAGCAGCAGAAGCUGGUAGGGAUCCGGACUUUUUAACAAUCAGCUUUGGUGUAAAGUGAAACGCUGUUUAUAACAAAGUUAUAAACCCAGAGGGGUGAAUUUAGGCAAAGUCAGCAACAUGUUUACAUCGGUGAACAGCUGCAGAGAGAACGUAAGCUAACGUUGGUAAGCUAGUUAGCAUACCGCUCUCUAUGAGCCCCGCUAGAUGCGCGACUUCCUCUGAUAACUGAACUGGGCAUGAACUAGUGGAAGGAAUGCUGGAGGAGUUUUGUUUUUGUUUUGAUCGCAAAAACAAUUUCAGGCUCUACUUUUCCCUUUGUUUAUAUCGUGUCGCUCGCUGUUUACAUGCUUUUGCCGUCCACCAUGGUGGACCCACGUAGUUAGGUGACGUCGGUGCAAAGGGUCAAUACUAAGCACGCAUGCAGCGACAGUGGAGAGGAAAACUCCCUUUUAACAGGAAGAAACCUCCAGAGAAUCCUGGCUCAGUAUAAGCAGCCAUCCUCCACGACUCACUGGGGAUGGAGAAGACACACACACACACACACACACACACACACACACACACACACACACACACACACACACACACACACACACACAUUACUUUCUACGUUUUAACCUCACAUGUGACACGUUUUAGAAAGUCUCGUCCUUUUUCUAACCCAUCAGUCGCAGAUGACACCUUCAGUGAUGCUCUGUCAUCUCAGAGGCUUGCUGCAGGUUUCCUAGUGACUUCAAUACUCACACAAAGCUUAGAGUCAGGUAAUGGGAUAUUUGUUUAGCAUAAAGACAUCACUUUGAACAGUGCGACAACUUCCAAAGGAACAUUUUAUCUUUAAUAGUGUGAAUUCAUGUCUCCACGCAUGUUCUCUCUGCCAAACGUCCAACAUGGCUGUGGAUGUCGAGGUGAUACCUGAGAUUUUAAGUCUCAUAAAGCAGGUAAUGAGCACAGUUGCCUCCUGAGCCCCGUUAGCUUAGCCGUGAGCUUAGCUUCUGUUGUUGUAAUUCCGGCUCCUAAUUAACACGUCACACUGUCGCAGGCGCUUUCGUCAUGCCCGCCUCCAAAAGGUUCCUGAGCGCUGUGCAAACGCAAUCUGAAAAGGUUCCUACGGGACCUACGCAGUCGAAAAGUGCCUUUUGAUACCCGUGUGUGACUAGAUCAGGAAGUGAUCCUUGUGUUUAUUAAAUGUUGUUGACAAAUUUAGACAAAUCAGAAUUUGACAAGUUUAAAGGGCGUUACCAAAGACCUCAGAGAUUCACUCCCUCACUCAGAUGCUUAGAGGUUAACUCUUAGUGUGGAGUGAAGGUGUUAAACAUUAAUAAUAAUAAUAUUAUGAUAUUAUUGUGUUCAUAUUAAUAGAUUAAAUUACUAGAAUCAACACUACUGAUCUGGUGUAAUUUAAGAUCUGAAAUGAAUCAUUACAGGAGAAAUAUUCAUUAUAACCCAUCAUUCAUUAAUGUACCGUACAGGACACUGUCGUGAGCCGGUGUGAGAACUCCUCUCAAUAUUCCACCUUUGAGUUGUGUGUUGCAGGAGGGGGAGGUUCUCAGCUGCACCUGGUUUGCAAUCAGCGGGUUCUGCUAUUUAAGGAGGAUGGAGAACACGCCUCGACGCCGGAUGAUUACUACAGCUUGGUUUUUGGAACGUCCCUGGAUUCAGCGACGCCUCAGGAUUACUCUCUCGUGCCCAUGGGAUUUCUGGACACAGCUCUGAACCAUUCUCCAUUCCUCGAGUCCUGACCGACCCGUUCUCCUGCUCACCUCACGCUACCUCUCCUGGACCCCCACACUUGGAUACAUCCCGGCUCUCAACCUGCCCUCCCUCAUUCCCGAGCUUCCCCUCAUCUCCUGUCCUACACUUCUCCAGGGGCCUGGAGACGAGAAACUACAGAGCUGAUCCCUGAUCAAACUAUUCCUGAAAGGCCACGCUGAGGCGGUUUCACCACGAGAAAGAGAAACUGAUUAAAAAAAACAACACCCAAAGAAACAGAUCCCAGGUCAGAUCGCUGACUACACCAAAAGGGAGGCUGGGAUAGAAGAGGAGAGUGUCAGGGAGAAGAUGCUACGAUAGUGAGACAAGGAUGAAUGAAUAAGUUAAGACUUCUGUUCAUGCAUUUACAGAGAAACAUAAACACAAAGUGUGGAGGUGUGAAGCUUCUUUUAGCAAGUAUAACUAUGAGUUCACUCAGGGGGGCUUUUUUACAGAAAUGCUGCCACUUCUGGCCUUGAAGCAUCCAGAAGGAGAAUCAGGUCUACAGCUAUCAACAAGCACCUGCGGUCCGGUACCUGUCUGCCGCCCCCUGCUGGACGACCUACUGAUGGUUGGGAUCUGAACAGAACAGCAUGCUUCGUCAUAUUAACGGGAGUAGAAGAGGGACGACGAGGACGACACACAGUGGACAUGCUGCAGCAGGGACAGGUGAGACAUUACCUAGGUUGUUGCUGAAGCUUCAAUAAGCUGUGAACAAUAUAAACAACCAAGCCAAGGGUGAUAAGCUUUAAAAUGGGAUAGAAGUGUUUGUUAUGUUUUAUUAGGAACAUGAAUUCAGUAGAUGGCCUUGCCCUGCGUAAACAUGCCUCGGUCGUCUAAACGAUGACCAGCUAACUAACAGUUAAAACAACUAAUCUUCUUUCUCGUUUGUGAAGUGGAAAACUUUUACUUAACAUGUCUGGCCUUACCUCUAUAUCGAUCUCUGGCUGUGUGAAGACAGGACGCCCAGCUGUGGGCCUGAGCAGUCCCGACUCCGAGCUCUCCGGUUCUCCUGCUGAUGUAAAACACACACAUCAGCUCAGAAACUCGCAGCCGUCUGAACAGCAGUGGUGUUUUUAAACCAUGAAGCACGUGACAAUAACACACCUGCACAGCGUGUCAACAGUAAACCACAUAGCGAACCAGGUUCGUGGUCAUUUACACCAAAUUAAUAAUCAGAUUCCCACGUAGUGGGAGACCGAAAGCCGAAGAACAGUCUCCGUCUUUUCAUUUAAAUCUUGGAAGUGGGUACGAAACUAAACUCUACCCAUCUGUUGUGUCUUCUGUUUACUGCACAUAAAGAAGUGAAGCAAUAGCAGGCAUGCAUGCUGUACCUUCUUCUUCAUCCUGACCCUCAGAAGCUAAAUCAUCAUUCAAACUGAAAGAAAAGAAACAAAUCUGGAUCACAACACAGGCAAAAACACCGGCUGGUGAACAGUUUGAAAACAUUUGUUCAUGCAACGUGUAAAAAUGAGAGUCACAAACCAAAGAGUUCAAACCACUUCUUACUUCUUAUUUAAAGAUGUGAAAAAACAUUCAAUCCCUUACAGAAGUCUCCUGUUUUUGCAUUAAUCACACUUAAUGUUUCAGAUCAACAAACAAAUGUCUGACAAAGGAAAUGGUUUAAUGGUUCCUUCCCGGAACGGCGCUGCUCUGGGUGGCUGCAUGUUGGAGUAGCUCUGUCGACUAGAUAUCUGGAAUCUGAAGCUGCUCACCACCCGAACCGUGAUGAAACAUUCCGCUGUUGUUCCAGUAAGAAUCAGCUCGUCGUGAUGGACCAUUUAAAGCUGGAGAAGUCUGACCUGAGACAACCCCGGACCUCGGCCUGAACUUUACCCUCGAGGAAAAGUAUUUUGGUGGGACAGAGAGGGUGUGUGACGGAUAUGCUGUCAACAUGGCUGCUCCUGCAGCUCCUAAAGUAACCGCUCAGAUCUUUGAAUGUAGGGUUCUACAGGAAGCUUAUACACAAAUAAUAUCAUACCUGUGGAAGCUAUUUCUUUAGAAGGCCUGAAUUUAGAGGCACAGAUUCAUUGUGAUUGGAUUGAUGGGCUAACAGCUAGUAAGAGCAAGACUAUAUUGGGGCGACGGUGGCACAGGAGUUAGGUGCUCGCCCCGUAAUCGGAAGGUUGCUGGCUCGAGUCCCGCUCAGUCUGUCGCUGUCGUUGUGUCCUUGGGCAAGACACUUAACCCACGUUGCCUGCUGGUGGUGGUCGGAGGGACCGGUGGCGCCAGUGCUCGGCAGCCUCGCCUCUGUCAGUGCGCCCCAGGGCAGCUGUGGCUACAUCGUAGCUCAUCCCCACCAGUGUGUGAAUGUGGGGUGAAUGACUGAUUGUGUUGUAAAGCGCCUUG
Nothobranchius furzeri (turquoise killifish) is the source of this 5128-nucleotide non-coding RNA. The record is from RefSeq and is a predicted model, not a curated record. NCBI's taxonomy places the organism in Eukaryota, Metazoa, Chordata, Actinopteri, Cyprinodontiformes, Nothobranchiidae.